Gracilinanus agilis (Agile Gracile Mouse Opossum) is the source of this 102-nucleotide small nuclear RNA. The record is from RefSeq and is a predicted model, not a curated record. Lineage: Eukaryota; Metazoa; Chordata; Mammalia; Didelphimorphia; Didelphidae.
GCUCACUUUGGCAGAUCAUAAACAAAAAUUUGAAUGAUACAGAGAUUAUCACGGCCCCUUUGCAAGGAUGGCAUGCAAAUUUGUGAAGCAUUCCACAAUUUA